RNAcentral lists this unclassified non-coding RNA (206 nucleotides) under Hevea brasiliensis (rubber tree). Lineage: Eukaryota; Viridiplantae; Streptophyta; Magnoliopsida; Malpighiales; Euphorbiaceae. The record is from RNAcentral.
CUUUUCUUCAAUCAAAUCAUAGUAACAAGCUUCAUAUUUUAAGAUACAAACCUCCUCAACAUGUUCCUUCAAAAGUUAAAAAUCUAGGAAGUACCGCUUUUCGCAAGCUGCUGCUCACACCAUUACCAGACCAAUUACUCUCUCCAUUCUAGGGUUCAUCAAUUCCCGAUAAGUUGCUUGUUCUUGGUGGGAGACUCCGAAAUGCG